CCUACGGGAGGCAGCAGUAAGGAAUAUUGGACAAUGCUCGCAAGAGUGAUCCAGCCAUGCCGCGUGCAGGAAGAAUGCCCUAUGGGUAGUAAACUGCUUUUGAACUAGAGAAAACCCCAGUACGUGUACUGGGCUGAUAGUAUAGUUAGAAUAAGCAUCGGCUAACUUCGUGCCAGCAGCCGCGGUAAGACGAAGGAUGCAAGCGUUAUCCGGAUUCAUUGGGUUUAAAGGGAGCGUAGGUGGACUGAUAAGUCAGUGGUGAAAUCUCCGAGCUUAACUCGGAAAUUGCCAUUGAUACUGUUGGUCUUGAGUACAGUUGCUGUGGGCGGAGUAUGACAUGUAGUGGUGAAAUACAUAGAGAUGUCAUAGAACACCGAUUGCGAAGGCAGCUCACAAAGCUGUAACUGACACUGAGGCUCGAAACGUGCGGGGGAUCGAAACAGGAUUAGAUACCCUGGUAGUCCGCACCGUAACGAUGAUUACUCGCUGCUAGGGGCAACCGUUUAGUGGCUUAGCGAAAGCGAUAAGUAAUCCACCUGGGGGUACCGCCGGGCGACGGUGAAACGUCGAAAGUGAAGUUGACGG
This 585-nucleotide ribosomal RNA is filed under the name uncultured bacterium. Its description in RNAcentral is "bacterial SSU rRNA". It matches the Rfam family "Bacterial small subunit ribosomal RNA", at positions 338 to 916 of the family's 1533-position model. The record is from RNAcentral.